Molecule: long non-coding RNA, 651 nt
Filed under: Oryctolagus cuniculus (rabbit)
Lineage: Eukaryota; Metazoa; Chordata; Mammalia; Lagomorpha; Leporidae
Description: lncRNA (ENSOCUG00000029894.1)
Source: RNAcentral
GGCUUCCCUUUUCGUCCACGCCCUCAGGAGCGGUAGCACUUUCCCGGAAAGUUGUGGGGCUGCGGGUCUAAAGUUUCGGGGGCUAGGGGCCGAAGGUGGCCGCCGCUCCGCCUCCCUCCGCCGCCAUUUACUGCGCCCCGGCCCGGCCUCGACGCGCCCGCACCAACACUGACAGCGGCGGCCGCGCUCCAGACCCGGAUGUGAGGCCGGGAGGAGAGAGCGCGAGAGGGAGAGAGAAACACCCACCGGGCGGCUCGGCCGCUCCCGGGAGAGGAGGCCGCAGCGCCCCCUGGUGGCAGGCGCCGGGCGCGGGGUGGCCGGCCGCCGCCGGGUGCUGGCCGCAGGAGACCCCGCGAAGAGGACCCGGGGAAGAGCCGGCGGCUCCUGAGGACCAGGGCAACUGGGGGCGGUGAACGUCCACACUCCGGCUCCCUUGCGGUGCUUACCUGUGAAAUCAAACUGGACGGAACGCAGGGGGACCCGGCACAGGUUUCCCCCUUGUGCAAGGUCAUCCCUGCGCUGGCUACUUCGCCCUAUAUCAAUAUAGAUGCUAUAAUCAGAAUAAUUUGAAAGAAAGCUACCUUCCAGAUGCCACCUGAGGUAUUCUUAUCCUAUAUGUAUUGCCAAUGGAAUCUAUUUUCAUUACUUCAC